RNAcentral lists this long non-coding RNA (475 nucleotides) under Sorghum bicolor (sorghum). RNAcentral describes it as "long non-coding RNA (SBIC_LNC001868)". The record is from RNAcentral. Lineage: Eukaryota; Viridiplantae; Streptophyta; Magnoliopsida; Poales; Poaceae.
UACGAUUAGAGAGUAAAAAUAUUUUAAUAAAAAAAUUACAAAAUGACUUUACCGAGUGCUGUGGGUGUGGCCCUCGGCAAAGCGAAUUUUUUAAAAAAAAAUAAAAACAGAAAAUAAGAUUUUUUUUAAAAAAAAGGCUCUUUGCCGAGAGCCGGAUCUAGCAGCCCUCGGCAAAGGGAAAGUUUUUUCUUCAAACAAAAUGAAAACAGAAAAUAAAAAAUUUUCAAAAAAAAAAGUUGUUUGCCGAGAGCCAGAUCUGGCGGCCCUCAGCAAAAAGGGAAACACGCAAUAAGUGUCAGCCAGUGCUCCAACUCCCGAACGUUGCCAGCCAGUGCCCCAACUCCCCAACUCCCGAAGCCCAACGCUCGACGCAAAGAGACGCAACGCCCGGCGGCCGGAGCCGCGCCCGCCGCUGACCGCGGAGCUGCGACUGCCGGAGCCGCGCCCGCCGUUGACCGCCAGAGCCACGCCGGCC